This 434-nucleotide ribosomal RNA is filed under the name uncultured bacterium. Its description in RNAcentral is "partial 16S ribosomal RNA". It matches the Rfam family "Bacterial small subunit ribosomal RNA", at positions 29 to 507 of the family's 1533-position model. The record is from RNAcentral.
AGCGAACGCUGGCGGCAGGCUUAACACAUGCAAGUCGAGCGGGCAUAGCAAUAUGUCAGCGGCAGACGGGUGAGUAACGCGUGGGAACGUACCUUUUGGUUCGGAACAACUGAGGGAAACUUCAGCUAAUACCGGAUAAGCCCUUACGGGGAAAGAUUUAUCGCCAAAGAUCGGCCCGCGUCUGAUUAGCUAGUUGGUGAGGUAAUGGCUCACCAAGGCGACGAUCAGUAGCUGGUCUGAGAGGAUGAUCAGCCACAUUGGGACUGAGACACGGCCCAAACUCCUACGGGAGGCAGCAGUGGGGAAUAUUGGACAAUGGGCGCAAGCCUGAUCCAGCCAUGCCGCGUGAGUGAUGAAGGCCCUAGGGUUGUAAAGCUCUUUUGUGCGGGAAGAUAAUGACGGUACCGCAAGAAUAAGCCCCGGCUAACUUCGUG